Molecule: ribosomal RNA, 467 nt
Filed under: uncultured bacterium
Lineage: Bacteria
Description: partial 16S ribosomal RNA
Rfam family: Bacterial small subunit ribosomal RNA
Source: RNAcentral
GACGAACGCUGGCGGCGUGCUUAACACAUGCAAGUCGAACGGAAAGGCCCUGCUUUUGUGGGGUGCUCGAGUGGCGAACGGGUGAGUAACACGUGAGUAACCUGCCCUUGACUUUGGGAUAACUUCAGGAAACUGGGGCUAAUACCGGAUAGGAGCUCCUGCUGCAUGGUGGGGGUUGGAAAGUUUCGGCGGUUGGGGAUGGACUCGCGGCUUAUCAGCUUGUUGGUGGGGUAGUGGCUUACCAAGGCUUUGACGGGUAGCCGGCCUGCGAGGGUGACCGGCCACAUUGGGACUGAGAUACGGCCCAGACUCCUGCGGGAGGCAGCAGUGGGGAAUAUUGCACAAUGGGCGGAAGCCUGCUGCAGCAACGCCGCGUGCGGGAUGACGGCCUUCGGGUUGUAAACCGCUUUCGCCUGUGACGAAGCGUGAGUGACGGUAAUGGGUAAAGAAGCACCGGCUAACUACGU